Molecule: long non-coding RNA, 3762 nt
Filed under: Homo sapiens (human)
Lineage: Eukaryota; Metazoa; Chordata; Mammalia; Primates; Hominidae
Description: HSALNT0156671
Source: RNAcentral
CAAAAACAAAUUCAGCCUGGGCAACACAGCGAGACCUCACCUCUAAAAACGAUAACAUGGCCCCAAGUCCUUGCCCCUCUUCCCAUCAAGACGUGGGGUCUCUACCCCCCACCCCCACUGCCCCUCUUCCCAUCAAGACGUGGGGUCUGUACCCCCUACCCACACUGACCCUCUUCCCAUCGAGAGGUGGGGUCUCUACCCCUUACCCACACUGACCCUCUUCCCAUUGAGAGGUGGGGUCUCUACCCCUUACCCCCACUGCCAAACCUGGACCAGCUGUGACUGCUUUCAAUGGCAGGCAGUGGCAGUGAGGCCAGGUGUGUUUGGAGACUGGACAGCACAGGCCAGUGGCCUCACCUGACACUCCGACUCAAGAAGCUCCCUUUCCGAGCCUGGUCAUCAUGCUGGGAGAAACCCAAGCCACACAGGAGGCCACGAGCUCGUGCUUUGGUGGACAGUCACCACUGAGCCCGGCUCAGCGCACAUAUGUGAUGGUCCAGCUUCAAGUCCCCUUAGUGUUGGCACCGUCCCAUUUGACCCCAGACAACAUGGAACAGAAUCAAAGCCACUCCAUUGCGUCCUGCGUGAAUUCCUGACCUCCAGCUCCGCCAGCAUAAUGAAAUAGUGGCUGCUUCAUCUUACCCAAUUCAGCUUGGGGUGGUUUGUUACACAGAAGCCAAUAUUUGACUUUAUUUGACUGAUGGCUGUCCAAAAGCUUACAAUUUGAACAGCCUGACAUGGAUGCUGUUUUCUGCCUAAAAACUCAUAUUUUGCAAACUACUGAGUGCAAGUUUACUUUAAUGACCUGUGAGCUUGGCCGUGUAAAGACUUGCUGAAAGCCAGCCGUAUUAUCAGAAAGCACGGAGCCAGUUUGCAAGCUCUCGUAUUGCUCAGAACUCUUUCAGUGGUAAGGGGCAGAGAUGGGACCCACGCUAGCUACCAGCAGAAAGGAAGCUACCGGCAGGGUGGUACCUCGGGCUGGCUCCAGAGACACAUGCACGCACACAUGCAUGCACAGGCACACACAUAUGUGCACACACACAUACAUACACGGGAAGCAUUCUAUUGCUAUAUGGUGAAACUUGUGGUCAUUUUAUUUCCUCAUGAGCUGCAAUUGUGGGUUUAUCAGAUGUUUCUGCCACUUUCCUUCUCUCUCUCUUCCUCUCUCUCUCUCUCUGCUAUCAUUUGAAUAAACAUAUCGCUCCAGAAUUCAUAUACUGAAAUGUAAUGGAUUAAGAGAUGGGGCCUUGGGCAGGUGACUGAGUCAUGAGGGCCUCCCUCACGGAUGGGAUUAGUGCCCUUAUAAAAGGGCUGGAGGAAACUAGCUAGGCCACUUUUGCCCUCCCGCCCCUUCCACUAAGUGAGGCCAGAACGUAGCAACCAGACACCAUCUUGGAAGCAGAGAGCAUUCUCAUCAGUCGCCAGACCUGCUGGUGCUGUGAUCUUGAACUUCCAACCUCCAGAAUUGUAAGCAAUGUAUUUGUGCUGUUUAUAAAUUACCCAGUCUAAGGGAUUUUGUUAGCAGCAUAAACAGACCAAGACACUCUCUCUCAGUUUCUUGGCUCUCUCUCCGUUGGCCUCAUUUUCUCCUGCAAAUGAACCUCGUCCAUUUGGCCAGCAGGAGGGAGGAUGUGGCUGCAGGCCACCAGGCUAACAGCCCCUCAGGUCAACAACACCCCCAUGGAACCUCUUCCUCUCUUCAGCGUGUGUCAUACGUGUACACACAUGCAUACACACAUACAGGAAGCACUCUAUCUUUACAUAGUGAAGCUUGUGGUCAUCAUUUUAUUUCCUCGUGAGCUGCAAUGGUAAGAAUUCCCUGAAAAUUCCCCCACUGGCAGGCCACAGCGUGCUUAAACAACAUCAAAUCCAACGCAUCUCACUGUAUCACUGAACUAUAGUUAGAGGUUUUGUUUUGAAAAUUAGUUGACAACUUCAGCGCUUUUGUCAUUUUUAUGUUCACCAGCACAAAGAUGAGCUUUUAGGUGCUCAGGAAGGGCAAGCCAGGUGACCGUCUUCCAUGCAGCAGGGACUCUACUUAAAUUCAGUGUUUUUCCAAAGCCCCUUUCUACUCCAAAAGCACCCAUCUUAUAAUCAAUAUGCUGGGAGCACUCAGUUUCUCUCCCUGCAUGACCAAGUUAAUCAACAGCAGAGGCUGCAUUAAUCAGCUUUGUUGCAGUAACAAACACGCCCAGAACGUGCCCCAGUGCUGGCAUCUCAGGUGGGCUCAGGUGGGCUGCAGAUCAGCCACUUGUUUGCUCAUUCCUGGAGCAGCAGGAAUUCCUGGACCAUUCCAGUCCCUACUGGAGACAUGCUGGUGGCAAAGUCUUCCUUACCAAGCUUAAACAAGUGUCAUGAAGUCUUUUUUCUUUAACACUGGCCUCUGGUAGCCUCUGCUCAGAUGGGCUUUUGUCCUGGCAUCCCCUUGACAUUGGCCAAAGCUGGUCUCAGACCAAGCCCAGCAAUGGGAUCUCGGCAUGUGCCUCCAGGAAGAACUGCAAACUGAAUGUCGAUGAUUCGAAUGCAUAACCCCUGCGGGGCUAGAGGACACACAGAUGCACACAGUUCACCGCAGACCCUCUCAGGGGCCACCCAGACCAGCCGUGUUGGGAAGGACGCUGUUGGAAAGGCUUCCUCCUGGGCUGUGGUUUGAGCCUCUCUGAGGUGUCUCCUGCUCUCUCCAGAAUGGAAUGGAAGGGAGGUGGGUCUCAGAUUUCUGAAGAGCAGCUGCCUAAGCCUGGAGUUUCAGGUGAUUGAGUGUGUUGGUGGGUGGGGGGUAGUGAGGAAAGCAAAGGAAAGAAAUAAGCUCUUGGCUUGGACUUGAAGGGCUGCCUGGCGCUGUCCUGCUUCGGGGCUGAGGGGAGGAGCUGAGGCAGGUGAAGGCCUUGGUGGCCCUGGACCCAUCAGAACCCAACAGCUCUCCAUGGCAGCACCCGCCCCAGCCAGACCAUGAGCCUUGGCUGAGAUCUUGCUUCUGGGAAUGAGGUCAGGCCCUGCUGUUCAGGGGGGGCCCCCAAGGCUGCUCCUGCCUCCCGCCUAAUUCAGCCCUAUUUCUUAGAGGGCUCACCGUGACUCAAACACCCCAGCAAGCAAGACACUCACGUUCCCUCCUUCCUUGACCUGCACCGCCAGCCUCUCUCAAGAGAAAUGGCCGCCAGUGGAUCCAGGGUCCCCAAGGUGUUUGUUUCUGGAAAUUUCCACGGUGGCCAGGCCUCUAAACAUGAGGUCAAGAUGCCACCUGUCCUGGCUCGUCUCUCAUUGCGUUUCCCUGUGUAUGAAGCGACCUUCCUUUGAUCCAGAGCACAAAAAUGCAUGGAAUAUUCUGCAAGGACCACAGGGAGACUUUUAGUUUCCAAAUGUCAGCUGGAAAAUAACAAUAUGGGAGGUAGGAUAAAAAAUCCAUUGCUGGCCGGAUGUAGAGGCUCACGCCUGUAAUCCCAGCACUUUGGGAGGCCGAUGUGGGUGAAUCACUGGAGGUCAGGAGUUUGAGACCAGCCUGGCCAACACGGUGAAACCCCGUCUCUACUAAAAAUUAAAAAAUUGGCUGGAUGUGGUGGCACGAGCCUGUAAUCCCAGCUACUCGGGAGGCUGGGGCAGGAGAAUUGCUUGAACCCAGGAGACAGAGGUUGCAGUGAGCUGAGAUCAGGCCAUUGCACUCCAGCCUGGGUGACAGGAGUGAAACUCCAUCUCAAAAAAAAAAAAAAAAGGGAAAGAAAAGAAAAAGAAAGAAAGAAAAUCCAUUGCCCAGACCGGGCAUCAGAU